AAGUGUAGCACCAUCAGAAGAAAUGGAGGGACAUGAGAAUCUCUGUACAUCUUCAGAAGGGAUAAAGGAUAAAACCUGUAGUCUUCCAGUUCCUGGUGACAUAAAGUGUCAUCUGUUCAAAUGCACGCAAAGUCAUCUGCAUGCCCAGCGUAACCUUCAUCUGAAUGAACUUCUGUUACCUUUGGAUUAUUUUUAAUCAGGACACAGUAACAGAACUAGGACUUAGUUCAAUACCCAUUUCGUUUACAUGGCACGUAAAGCUUCAUUUAAAUUUGAAGGCAACCAUAAUUUUUCUGAAAUAUUCAAAACAGCUUUAAAUAGUCUUUGGGAAACUCCAGAAGUCCUCCAGUGCAAGGAUCAUCAGUUAAACAUAUACCCCAUUGGUUUUUAUGUAGUAAUAUCUGAUAUACUGCCAACCCAUUGGACAAACUGUGCAGAUGCUGUAUUAAUAAUCAGAGAGUGCAGACUGCUUAAUGCAAGAAAGGAGAAGAAAAACCUUCAGGAUUCAGUGCUUGGAACAAUAUAGAUAAAAUCUCUGGACCAGGGAAAGUUGAAGUCCCAAAGCUGAUGGGAAGACAGCAUCACUGAAGUUCACAUGGGACUGUCCAGCAGAAUCCUGAGUUCAGUGAGACUAUUCCAAAAAUUUAAUAAAUUUAUUUAUUUUACUUUCCCCA
Molecule: long non-coding RNA, 674 nt
Filed under: Coturnix japonica (Japanese quail)
Lineage: Eukaryota; Metazoa; Chordata; Aves; Galliformes; Phasianidae
Description: lncRNA (ENSCJPG00005014662.1)
Source: RNAcentral